CCUACGGGGGGCAGCAGUGGGGGAUAUUGCACAAUGGGGGGAACCCUGAUGCAGCGACGCCGCGUGAGUGAAGAAGUAUCUCGGUAUGUAAAGCUCUAUCAGCAGGGAAGAAGCAAGACGGUACCUGACUAAGAAGCCCCGGCUAACUACGUGCCAGCAGCCGCGGUAAUACGUAGGGGGCGAGCGUUAUCCGGAUUUACUGGGUGUAAAGGGAGCGUAGACGGCAUGGCAAGUCUGGAGUGAAAGCCCGGGGCCCAACCCCGGGACUGCUCUGGAAACUGCCAUGCUAGAGUGCUGGAGAGGUAAGUGGAAUUCCUAGUGUAGCGGUGAAAUGCGUAGAUAUUAGGAGGAACACCAGUGGCGAAGGCGGCCUACUGGACGGUGACUGACGCUGAGGCUCGAAAGCGUGGGGAGCAAACAGGAUUAGAUACCCCUGUAGUC
RNAcentral lists this ribosomal RNA (441 nucleotides) under uncultured bacterium. RNAcentral's name for it is "partial 16S ribosomal RNA". It matches the Rfam family "Bacterial small subunit ribosomal RNA", at positions 338 to 795 of the family's 1533-position model. The record is from RNAcentral.